GAUGAACGCUAGCUACAGGCUUAACACAUGCAAGUCGAGGGACCGGCGCUCGGGUGAGUACCACGUAUCCAACCUGCCCUUUACUCGGUGCUAGCCUUUCGAUAGAAAGAUUAAUACCCGAUCUCAAGGCUGGGGAUGCGUUCCAUUAGGUUGUUGGUGAGGUAACGGCUCACCAAGCUUUCUCUGGAUAGGGGUUCUGAGAGGAAGGUCCACCAGAAUGGAACUGAGACACGGACCAAACUCCGACGGGAGGCAGCAGUGAGGAAUACUGGGCAAUGGGCGCUAGCCUGAACCAGCCAAGUAGCGUGAAGGAUGAAGGCUUAUGGGUCGUAAACUUCUUUUAUAUAAGAAUAGGUAUUAUAAGAAUAAGGAUCGGCUAACUCCGUGCCAGCAGCCGCGGUAAUAG
Molecule: ribosomal RNA, 406 nt
Filed under: uncultured bacterium
Lineage: Bacteria
Description: partial 16S ribosomal RNA
Rfam family: Bacterial small subunit ribosomal RNA
Source: RNAcentral